This 75-nucleotide transfer RNA is filed under the name Chloroflexota bacterium. RNAcentral's name for it is "tRNA-Gly". It matches the Rfam family "tRNA". From Rfam's summary of the family: Transfer RNA (tRNA) molecules are approximately 80 nucleotides in length. Their secondary structure includes four short double-helical elements and three loops (D, anti-codon, and T loops). Lineage: Bacteria; Bacillati; Chloroflexota. RNAcentral also lists the same sequence under 2 other names. The record is from RNAcentral.
GCGACAGUAGCUCAGGGGUAGAGCAUCUGCUUCCCAAGCAGAGGGUCGAGGGUUCAAAUCCCUUCUGUCGCUCCA